Long non-coding RNA from Hemicordylus capensis (graceful crag lizard), 1433 nucleotides. RefSeq lists it as uncharacterized. NCBI's taxonomy places the organism in Eukaryota, Metazoa, Chordata, Lepidosauria, Squamata, Cordylidae. The transcript is spliced from 5 exons. The record is from RefSeq and is a predicted model, not a curated record.
AUUGGAUGCUGAGAGAUGUAAUUUUAUUUGCUGUUUUGCUCAUUGUUUUAUCUAUUGCUGUUAUGUUGGUUUUAUUGCUACGUGAAUGGCUCUUAUUAUUUUACACUGCUUUAAGAACCUGUUUUUGCUAUUUGAUUUUAUUCCACAAUUUUAUUUCAGAUGUGUUUAAAAUUAUUUAUAGACCAUUUGGGAAACUUUUAGGUUUACUUUGGGUUUAUACAUUUCUGAAAUAAGUAAAUAAUUAAGAUGAAUAACCUGAGGUUUGUCUGAUUAGCAAAAACAGCUCUCCUAGGAAUGGAAUAGGGCUUCUCCCCCUCCAGCACUAGAUCUAAAUGUGAAAACCUAAAAUUACAAGUAAAGCAUCAACAACCAAAACAAGACAACCGUUAUUCAUCUGAAUUAUCAGCCUUGCAUUAAACUCAUCCCCAUCUGUCAUUUUAUUUUUGGCCCUCUCACCUCACUCUCAACUUCAUUAUUUUUCUUUCCAGGGCUGUCAGGUAUGUGAGACGACAAGCCAAAACACAGAUGCUUGAAUGGGCCAGUGUGUGUGUGUGCGCGCGUGUGUGUGCGUGCAUGCACAUGCUUGGCAAGAAACUCAUUUGUGUGUCACUCAGUCCAUUGUGCUUUCUUUCCAAUGUUUUUUCUAUCCUGCUUUUGAAAAGGCAUAUCUACAAGGUCUUGGCUUGUAUGUUUCAGCCACUUUGACAUAUCAACUUUCCAGCACUGAAGCAAAGUGUUUGCAGCAUGUACAAAAAGGCUCAACUCAGCAGUAGCUCAGCCCUGCAGACUGAGAGUGCUCAUUAGAUGUCCACCCUAGCAGGGACAAGCCAAGCAAGAAAAGAUCCUCCCAAAGGGCCAGUUCAAACAACCCCCCAACUGCACGUGUGAACAGGAAUGGGGGACAGACACCAAGUGCCAGCGGAGCCAUUCCCCACGGACAUCCUGACAACCUCGCAGGGCAUCUCUGGAUCAGCCUUUGAAGCAUCCGCUGAUGUGCUCAGAUGAGACCAAGGGAGAAGAGAAAUGUUUAGCAAGAAAAGGGAUCCAGAAGAACAUUGCAGGGAGGAGGAAGCACAUCCUGUCUUGGCAUUGAGAAACUAAGGCAGGUGCUAAAUGGCUCUUCAGGUAAUUCCCAUCUUCGAAAGAGAACAACUUGGCAGUUCUGAGCAUACUUGGCGAGUGUAGGAGGCUGGGAUGCAGAAGGUGCUUACACUACAGAAGAGUCCAUUGCAGGCCCCAAAUGCAGAGGUGGCUGUGAAAGAGGCUUCGACAAGACUGGCAUUGCCAUAAGAGAACCCAGCAACAAAUAGAUAUGGGCUGACAAGCAAUCCAGCCAAGGAUUUGGAAAAAUGUCAAACUUCAAGCCUUUGUACGAUUCUUGAUCCUUACCCAUGGAAGUUUCAAACAGACAUGUUCAGUGGUUUGAGGUUUAU